AAGACAAUUUGUCCUUUAAGCCAUGGCUUGCCAACCUCUGUUCUAAGUGGAAGGGGAAAGGAAAUGUCUAAGAUCGUUUCAGGACGUGAUAAUGCCUCGAAGAAAAGUAAAGCUGGUCGAGGCCAUAGAAGGAAAUGAGGUGAGGGAGCCGCUAUUUCAGAAUGUUUGAGGUCUUCCUAAUGAAACGAAGCAAAGGAGCGCGUGAAGUGAGGCUGUCAGAGAGGAUGGGAUCCGGCACACGGUGGAAGGCUUGACUCGAAACAAGAGCCUGGACAAUUACUCUCUUAUAAUAGGAAAGAAGGCAAAAUAUAACAUUACAGAGGCAGUGGGAUGAAUUAGAAGAUUUUAAAAGAUGUUGGAAUAUGUAAUGGUAACGUCCUUGUGAAUUCAGAAGAGUGAAGAACUGCUUCGUCUCGUUUGAGAAGAAAAGGCCAUCUUAUUCUAGUGAAUAAGGGAGGUUUGUUGUAAGAAACGGAGGACUGAAAAAAUCUAUGAAGUAAGGGCCAGCCCCGUGGCUGAGUGGUUAAGUUCGUGUGCUCCACUGCGGCUGCCCAGGGUUUCGCCAGUUCGGAUCCUGGGCGUGGACGUGGCACCGCUCAACAGGCCACGCUGAGGCGGCAUCCCACAUGCCACAACUAGAAGGACCUGCAACUAGGAUAUACAACUAUGUACAGGGGCGAUUUGGGGAGAAAAAGCAGAAAAAAAAAAAAAAGAUUGGCAACAGUUGUUAGCUUGGAUGCCAAUCUUUAAAAAAAAGAAAAACAAAUCUAUGAAGUCAUCCAAAUUUUCACAAAAUUCUCCUUGAGAAUGCCUGUAAAUCCCCCCAAAGAAGUCUUUGAAUUCCAUAGGAACAAGAUAUAGCCAAUAUGACUCACGGCAGGUGAGAGGACACAGCUGGAGAAGAGCAAGUCCAGGCUUCCGCUUCCCUUGGGUGGCUGACUUCUAGAUCUGCAAUGCUUAAUCAUAAAAAAAAGGAAGCGAUGGUUGAGGACAUUAAAUGAGAAAUGUGUCUUCAAAGUACCUCGCCUGAAGAGCCAAGAUAAUUUACCAAGCCCGGAAAAGGGCAAGAGCACAUCAGGAUCACGAUGGACACAACAGAGCUCAGUCUUGAGAAACAAUCGCAGGGGCAUCGUUACAUUUAUCUGGGUCUUUCUUCAUCUGGAGGACUUCCACUGCUGCCGUUCACUGCAGGAUUGGCCGGUGAGACGUGUAAGGAGAGACUUGGCUGUGUUACCCAUAUAAGGAGCCUCCUAGAGGUAGCCCUGCAGCCCUCAGCCCUGAGUGUGUGUAAGGCAGCAAGCAUCUCAGCAGGAGGAAAAGACGUGUCUGCCUUCAAGGAAUUUUAAAUUUAAUGAGGAAAUAUUAAUUGUGAUGGUUUGGAACCUCAUCACCAUUAGAGGCACACUAGCCUCUUCACUUUUCUCAAAUAUGGCCUGGCAUGUUACACCUCAGGGCCUUUGUACAAGAUCCUUCUUCCCGGCAUGGUCUUCUAAUAUAGCCUCAUGACCUCCCCCUCUGCAUCUCCUUCAGGUCUUU
Molecule: long non-coding RNA, 1536 nt
Filed under: Equus asinus (donkey)
Lineage: Eukaryota; Metazoa; Chordata; Mammalia; Perissodactyla; Equidae
Description: lncRNA (ENSEASG00005031114.1)
Source: RNAcentral